This 524-nucleotide ribosomal RNA is filed under the name Neocicindela parryi. RNAcentral's name for it is "partial 18S ribosomal RNA". The stretch from base 227 to 524 matches the Rfam family "Eukaryotic small subunit ribosomal RNA", at positions 622 to 927 of the family's 1831-position model. Lineage: Eukaryota; Metazoa; Arthropoda; Insecta; Coleoptera; Carabidae. The record is from RNAcentral.
UCGUAGUUGAAUUUGUGUCUUGCGCUGUCGGUUCAUCGCUGUUUGCGGUGUUUAACUGGCACGUUGUGAGACGUCUUGCCGGAAGGGCAUGGUAUAUGUGUUAUAUGUUUUAUUUACAAGCAUUUUAUUAAUAUGCAUAAUCAUAAUAUAUUAUUAUUCAAAUAUAGAGUGUAAAAGCUUUAUAUUUGGUAUGUAUAUUAUUGAUUUUUGUUAUAUUAUUUAAUGUAAAAAUUCGUAAGUGACGCAUAUAUAAUAAUACAUGUACGUAGUCCGACUUUUUUUUUUUAUAGAAAAAAAUCCUGUCUAGGUGCUCUUAAUUGAGUGUCGUGGCGGGCCGGCACGUUUACUUUGAACAAAUUAGAGUGCUUAAAGCAGGCUUAUGUUGCCUGAAUAUAGUGUGCAUGGAAUAAUGAAACAGGACCUCGGUUCUAUUUUGUUGGUUUUCUGAACUGAACGAGGUAAUGAUUAAUAGGGACAGAUGGGGGCAUUCGUAUUGCGACGUUAGAGGUGAAAUUCUUGGAUCG